Molecule: ribosomal RNA, 484 nt
Filed under: uncultured bacterium
Lineage: Bacteria
Description: partial 16S ribosomal RNA
Rfam family: Bacterial small subunit ribosomal RNA
Source: RNAcentral
AUUGAACGCUGGCGGCAGGCCUAACACAUGCAAGUCGAGCGGAUGAAGGGAGCUUGCUCCUGGAUUCAGCGGCGGACGGGUGAGUAAUGCCUAGGAAUCUGCCUGGUAGUGGGGGAUAACGUCCGGAAACGGGCGCUAAUACCGCAUACGUCCUGAGGGAGAAAGUGGGGGAUCUUCGGACCUCACGCUAUCAGAUGAGCCUAGGUCGGAUUAGCUAGUUGGUGGGGUAAAGGCCUACCAAGGCGAAGAUCCGUAACUUGUCCGGGAGGAUGAUCCGUCACCCCGGAACCUGAACCACGUCCCGGCUCCUUAGGGAGGCCGCAGUGGGGAAUAUUGGACAAUGGGCGAAAGCCUGAUCCAGCCAUGCCGCGUGUGUGAAGAAGGUCUUCGGAUUGUAAAGCACUUUAAGUUGGGAGGAAGGGCAGUAAUUUAAUACCUUGCUGUUUUGACGUUACCAACAGAAUAAGCACCGGCUAACUUCGUG